GACUACAGGGGUAUCUAAUCCUGUUUGCUCCCCACGCUUUCGUGCCUCAGCGUCAAUCAAGGUCCAGUUGGCUGCCUUCGCAAUCGGUGUUCUAUGACAUAUCUAUGCAUUUCACCGCUACAUGUCACAUUCCGCCAACCUCAACCCAAUCCUAGCACUGCAGUAUCAAAGGCAAUUCUCCGGUUGAGCCGGAACCUUUCACCCCUGACUUACAGCGCCGCCUACGCACCCUUUAAACCCAGUAAUUCCGGAUAACGCUUGCACCCUCCGUAUUACCGCGGCUGCUGGCACGGAGUUAGCCGGUGCUUAUUCCUCUGGUACCGUCAGACCCGCAUAAAUACAGGCUUUUCUUCCCAGAUAAAAGUAGUUUACAACCCAGAGGGCCUUCUUCCUACACGCGGGAUGGCUGGUUCAGAGUUUCCUCCAUUGACCAAUAUUCCUUACUGCAGCCCCCCGUAGG
This 460-nucleotide ribosomal RNA is filed under the name uncultured Sphingobacteriales bacterium. RNAcentral's name for it is "partial 16S ribosomal RNA". Lineage: Bacteria; Pseudomonadati; Bacteroidota; Sphingobacteriia; Sphingobacteriales. The record is from RNAcentral.